CAGAGUGUGACGACAGCCUCGGCAGGAGACGAGCGAACAGCAGACACUGAGGGAUGUUGUAGACUGGCUCAUGAAGUCCUCCUGUUUUCUCUCCACAGGCAGAUGAAUGACAGAGAGCUGAGAAAACGCUGCAGAUUUGUGCAACAGGAGCGCAGAACAGACAUCACAUCUAGUUUUGAUUCUUACCUAAAACACGCAGGAUUGGAGGAGAAGAUGAGAGAGGUCUUGGUGACAGAAUCUCAAUGGCUUUCCACCAGAUGUUAGAACAUGGCUGCAGGGGUUUGCUCCCAUUCAGCCACAGGAGCGUUAGUGAGCUCCAGCACUGAUGUUGGGCAAUAAGGCCUGGCUCACAGUCAACGCUCCAGUUCAUCCCACGGGUGUUGGAAUGGGUUGAGGUCAGGGCUCUGUGCGGGCCAGUCAAGUUCUUACACAACUGGGAAAAGCAUUUCUUUAUGGAGCUGGUUGUGUGCACGGGGGCGUUGUCAUGUUGAAACAGGAAAGGGACAAACACAAACUAUCUCAUUGCAUGCUGUAGCAUUACGAUUUCCCUUCACUGGAACUAAGGGGCCUAGACCAAACCAGGAAAACAGACCAAAAGUACAGUGUGUCGACAUCAUUUUGAUUAUAUAGUGUAGCUGUGAGGAGUGAAUGAGCAAUGUAGUUGCAAGAACAAAACUUUGCACUGAUAUCUUAAAAUGUUUGAUUUGAAAGAGAACUUAUUCUAAUUAUAAUUAGAACUAUUCUAAUGAUCCGAUAACUCCCCUCCUCAGGUAUUGUACUGUCUGUGCCACCUGUGUGCAUGUCACUGCUGCCGUGAUCACUGAAAAGUCCGGGUGUGAGCUGCAGUUACCACCAACUCUCUGAAGACGCUAAUAAUUUUCACUCAGCUGCGUGUGGCUGUUAGUGCUGCUGUUUCUGAAUUGGACUUUUUUUCAGCCCUCCUUUACAGAUCAGAAAAUACUAUGAGACAAUCAGCAGCUUCAAGCAGAAAGAGAGGCGCUAUGUCAGACAUCAAAGGUCACAUAUUUACUAAAUUGAUCACGACAGGAGAUGCGUCAUCUGUCUCAUUCAGCUCAGCAGCUGACAGUGAUUGAUUUAUCAAACACAAUGUACAUUCUAAUGGUGGGCAAAACCACAACAUUUGGUUUCUAUAGUAUAUAGUGUAAGCCUAACACCAGGCCCAUAAUCAGCAAUGUCUAUACUGAUAGUUUACUAUUAAAGGCCCUGAACACCUGUUUUCUCAGCUUCUUACUGUGAGAAAUGUGGUCCUACAUGAACACACAAUUUUCUGCCAAAGGUGGAACCAUUUUGAUCAUUCAGCAGCAGACAGCGCUGCAGGUUAGACACCAGGCUGUCGUUGAUAAUCAGCAGCUGGACACAUCCGAGUCUGCACCAAGGCUCGUCAAAUUUGUUACCUGUGAGGUUUACAGCAGUCAGGGUUGGUUCUGGGGUGGCUGUGGCUCAGGAGAUAGAGCAGGUUGUCCAUUAUUGCAGGGUUGGUGGUUUGAUCUUUGGCUCCACUUGUCGAGUUGUUCUUUAGCAAGACACUGAACCCCAAGUGGUACCAAUGGCCAGGCCAGCGUGGAGCAGGAUAGGUAGUAUAUGUAGUAGGGCAGAACCAUGGGUAGAGCUUGUCGUCACUGACACUAGCUGGCUGCCAUGAUAGACAGCCUUUUACAAUAAAGCAGUUUCCUGUAGGCUAGCCAGCUGCAGGGACACUACUAUUGACUAUACAUUUAGUUACAUUUGUGAUUGACUGUAAACAGGUUUGAGAAUUAAGCCCCACCCAUGAUCAUGCCUCCAAGUUGUGAUUGGACGGUUGAUUGUUUUUAAUUUUGGCAUUGACAAUGCGUGUCCAUCUCAAAAAAGAAAAAGCUCCCUCACACCUGCUCAUGAAAACUAAUGAAAAUGUUUUGCAUUUAGUAUUGGUAUGUCUAUGCUGCCCUCUGCUGGACAACACUGACAUAUAACACACCUCUUCACUUUGUUUUCUGUGUUGUGAUUUGAUUUUAAUGUGGCAUGGAAAAUUCAUGUCACCAUGAAAAACAAUUCAUUCAGUUGUUAAAAACAGAAAGCUAAAUAAUUGUCCUUUUAACAUGUUUUUCAUUGAAUUAUGACAAAGUAAAGCCUAUAUAAAAAGGAAAUACAUAUAACAAUGUGUAUUGCGUUUUGCCUUAUUUCUUUCUUUGAUUUAAUUUAGUCAUUUUAAAUUUUCCAUUUUAUUCUGAGUGUACUAAAACUAUGUUCAGAAAACACGUUUUAUCUACCUAAAAGCCCCCUAUGCAGUACCUGUGUACUGUACUGCCCUUAUUGAUGCCAAAUGUACACACAAUUUCAUCUUCUGUAUGUAAUUCCUCUGUCAACUUAAGCUAAACUGCAGUUUCAUAUGUUGUAUGUUGUUGUCUCUUACUUGUAUUGUUUUAUG
This is an RNA transcript of Siniperca chuatsi (mandarin fish), 2425 nucleotides long. It is a transcript of the gene named 5-hydroxytryptamine receptor 1E, with no coding region annotated. NCBI's taxonomy places the organism in Eukaryota, Metazoa, Chordata, Actinopteri, Centrarchiformes, Sinipercidae. The transcript is spliced from 3 exons. The record is from RefSeq and is a predicted model, not a curated record.